RNAcentral lists this transfer RNA (74 nucleotides) under Operophtera brumata (winter moth). It matches the Rfam family "tRNA". From Rfam's summary of the family: Transfer RNA (tRNA) molecules are approximately 80 nucleotides in length. The record is from Rfam by way of RNAcentral. Lineage: Eukaryota; Metazoa; Arthropoda; Insecta; Lepidoptera; Geometridae.
CGCCCAGUGGCGGAGUGGUCAAACGCAUUUCCGUAUCAAGGAGACUGUUGUGGGUUCGAAUCCCGUCUGGCUGG